Molecule: ribosomal RNA, 466 nt
Filed under: uncultured bacterium
Lineage: Bacteria
Description: SSU rRNA
Rfam family: Bacterial small subunit ribosomal RNA
Source: RNAcentral
AGGAUUAACGCUGGCGGCGUGCCUAACACAUGCAAGUCGAACGAGGUAGCAAUACCUAGUGGCAGACGGGUGAGUAACACGUGGGCAACCUACCGUAAAGUGGGGGAUAACUAGCCGAAAGGUUAGCUAAUACCGCAUGAAACGUGCCGGGGCAUCCCGGAACGUUAAAAGGAGCAAUCCGCUUUAUGACGGGCCCGCGCCCGAUUAGCUAGUUGGUGGGGUAAUGGCCUACCAAGGCUCCGAUCGGUAGCUGGUUUGAGAGAGCGACCAGCCACACUGGGACUGAGAAACGGCCCAGACUCCUACGGGAGGCAGCAGUGAGGAAUUUUCCGCAAUGGGCGAAAGCCUGACGGGAGCGACGCCGCGUGUGGGAAGAAGGCCUUCGGGUCGUAAACCACUGUCGAAGGGGACGAUAAUGACGGUACCUUGGAGGAACGCCCCGGACUAACUACGUGCCAGCAGCCGC